RNAcentral lists this ribosomal RNA (487 nucleotides) under Pseudomonas sp. B0188. Its description in RNAcentral is "bacterial SSU rRNA". It matches the Rfam family "Bacterial small subunit ribosomal RNA", at positions 10 to 492 of the family's 1533-position model. Lineage: Bacteria; Pseudomonadati; Pseudomonadota; Gammaproteobacteria; Pseudomonadales; Pseudomonadaceae. The record is from RNAcentral.
AGUUUGAUCCUGGCUCAGAUUGAACGCUGGCGGCAGGCCUAACACAUGCAAGUCGAGCGGAUGAMGGGAGCUUGCUCCCUGAUUUAGCGGCGGACGGGUGAGUAAUGCCUAGGAAUCUGCCUGGUAGUGGGGGAUAACGUUCCGAAAGGAACGCUAAUACCGCAUACGUCCUACGGGAGAAAGCAGGGGACCUUCGGGCCUUGCGCUAUCAGAUGAGCCUAGGUCGGAUUAGCUAGUUGGUGAGGUAAUGGCUCACCAAGGCGACGAUCCGUAACUGGUCUGAGAGGAUGAUCAGUCACACUGGAACUGAGACACGGUCCAGACUCCUACGGGAGGCAGCAGUGGGGAAUAUUGGACAAUGGGCGAAAGCCUGAUCCAGCCAUGCCGCGUGUGUGAAGAAGGUCUUCGGAUUGUAAAGCACUUUAAGUUGGGAGGAAGGGCAGUAAGUUAAUACCUUGCUGUUUUGACGUUACCGACAGAAUAAGCA